This 453-nucleotide ribosomal RNA is filed under the name uncultured bacterium. RNAcentral's name for it is "bacterial SSU rRNA". It matches the Rfam family "Bacterial small subunit ribosomal RNA", at positions 349 to 793 of the family's 1533-position model. The record is from RNAcentral.
CAGCAGUGGGGAAUAUUGCACAAUGGGGGAAACCCUGAUGCAGCCAUGCCGCGUGUGUGAAGAAGGCCUUCGGGUUGUAAAGCACUUUCAGUAGGGAGGAAGGUAGUGUAGUUAACACCUGCAUUAUUUGACGUUACCUACAGAAGAAGCACCGGCUAACUCCGUGCCAGCAGCCGCGGUAAUACGGAGGGUGCGAGCGUUAAUCGGAAUUACUGGGCGUAAAGCGCAUGCAGGCGGCCUGUUAAGUCAGAUGUGAAAGCCCGGGGCUUAACCUCGGAAUUGCAUUUGAAACUGGCAGGCUAGAGUCUUGUAGAGGGGGGUAGGAAUUUCAGGUGUAGCGGUGAAAUGCGUAGAGAUCUGAAGGAAUACCAGUGGCGAAGGCGGCCCCCUGGACAAAGACUGACGCUCAGAUGCGAAAGCGUGGGGAGCAAACAGGAUUGGAUACCCUGGUAG